Molecule: ribosomal RNA, 476 nt
Filed under: uncultured bacterium
Lineage: Bacteria
Description: partial 16S ribosomal RNA
Rfam family: Bacterial small subunit ribosomal RNA
Source: RNAcentral
GAUUAACGCUGGCGGCGUGCAUAACACAUGCAAGUCGAACGAUGAAACUUAAAUGAUUUCUUCGGAAUGAACUUAAGUGGAUUAGUGGCGGACGGGUGAGUAACGCGUGAGUAACCUGCCUUACACAAGGGGAUAGCCGUUGGAAACGACGAAUAAUACCCUAUGAUGUUUCUAUCUCGCAUGAGAUAUUAACCAAAGUGUUAGCGGUGUAAGAUGGACUUGCGUCUGAUUAGCUAGUUGGUGAGAAAAAAGCCCACCAAGGCAACGAUCAGUAGCCGGCUUGAGAGAGUGUACGGCCACAUUGGGACUGAGACACGGCCCAGACUCCUACGGGAGGCAGAGUGGGGAAUUUUGCACAAUGGGGGAAACCCUGAUGCAGCGACGCCGCGUGAUUUAGAAGGCCUUCGGGUUGUAAAAAUCUUUUGUAUAGGAAGAAAAUGACAGUACUAUACGAAUAAGGUCCGGCUAAUUACGUG